This 208-nucleotide ribosomal RNA is filed under the name uncultured bacterium. Its description in RNAcentral is "partial 16S ribosomal RNA". It matches the Rfam family "Bacterial small subunit ribosomal RNA", at positions 1294 to 1500 of the family's 1533-position model. The record is from RNAcentral.
CGGAUUGCAGGCUGAAAUUACGCCUGCAUGAAGCCGGAAUUGCUAGUAAUGGCAGGUCAGCAUACUGCCGUGAAUACGUUCCCGGGCCUUGUACACACCGCCCGUCACACCAUGAGAGUUGGGAAUACCCGAAGCCUGUGAGCUAACUGUAAAGAGGCAGCAGUCGAAGGUAGAAUCAAUGAUUGGGGUGAAGUCGUAACAAGGUAGC